CAGAGCACUCACACUUCUUAAACGAUCCAAGAAACAGACCUGGGCACGGUUCGGAUAGCAUAGUGUGAAUACGCCCUAUGACUUGCAAUUUCAAGUUUACAUUUCACAGUUUUGAAAAAAAGGUCAGAAGUGCAGUAACAGUGCUUAUACAUUUAGCCUGGCUUCCAGACAAUCAAAAUGUUUGACAGUAUGUGACCUGUGGUGUAUCUCUCUUGAAAACUAGAUGCUGUCUGCAAGCAGUGGAGGCUGCCAACAAAACUGCUAUGGCCUCUACAAAUUUUGUAGGUCUGCCUUACUUCAUCUGUGUGUUUGCACUGCUGGUUAACAAAGCAUCUCUUCAGCUAGCCACAGUAGAAGGUGUUAUUGGUGGUUCUGCUCUCUGCCCUGUUCCUCAACUAAAGAUGCAAGCAAGCAAGACAUUAAUGUUCAUUGGAGAGAUGGUAGUGGUAAAACUGUGUUUGACUUAAUCAAGGGCGAAGCUUCAAUGGAGCAGGAUCAAUGGUACAAGAACAGAACUGAAUCUUUCCCUCAGGAACAUCUGAGAAGAAACUUCUCCAUUAAACUCAACAAACUUCAGCACAAUGAUGCAGGAAAAUACAUCUGCUACAUCUCACACUCAUCUGAACAACCAGCUGUACGACUGAUCAUCAACGAAUCAAAUACAGAAAAUGGAAACAAACCAAGUAAACCAGAUGACAAAAGAGAAGAGACAGCAUCAGAAAUGGAAUUAUCAACACUUUUACUCUGGGUUUUCAUUCCGUUAGCUAUAUUAAUUAGUUUAGGGGUUAUCAUUGUUUUAAUUAUUUACAGAAAGAAAAUACAAUCUGCCUUCUCUCCUGUCACAACUGAAAACACGGGUGACACUGACUAAUGAAAAGCAGGACAAGAAACUUAACUUUUGUUACAUUCCUUUUUUUACUGAAUUGUUACAGCUUUGGCUAUUUUUGGUGUGAAAGACACUGAAUCUCAAAUCACUAAUAACUGCUUUGAUUUUUUGCAGGGAUGUACAUAAUUAGUGUGUAGUUCAAUCCGCUUUUUUGCCUACCCAUAUGGUGGAUGGAUGUUAAUGAAAAAUCACUGUUUUAGAUCAACUAUCUGUAUCAUUGAAGUAUACUCUCUGAAUCGUGAAGUUCCAAAUAAGCAGGUAUAUGAUUACUACUUUGUCAACCAGAUAUCUCCAUCUAAAGCUUUUCUACAUAGUUUCUACACUCUAAAAGAGACGCUUUUUUUUUAAAUCACAUAACUGCCUAGUGUAUAGCAGCUUUGCAGCCGAUGUUUUACAUUGCUUUUAUAUGCAGCUUUUAAUGGCCAAAGUUGUAUUUAUAACAAUUCCAAGGCAGCAUCAGUAAUAACAAACUGAGACAAUGGUAGCUCUAGCAACACUAGCUUUUAGCCAUUAAACUACUUCAGAAAGGCAAUUUGCAAAGCAAAAUAUGCUAAAGAAAGAUUUCUGUGAGCUCAAGAAAGAUUUCUGUGAGCUCUUGGAAACAG
Non-coding RNA from Danio rerio (zebrafish), 1491 nucleotides. NCBI's taxonomy places the organism in Eukaryota, Metazoa, Chordata, Actinopteri, Cypriniformes, Danionidae. The record is from RefSeq and is a predicted model, not a curated record.